AACGAACGCUGGCGGCAUGCCUAACACAUGCGAGUCGAACGAGACCUUCGUGUCUAGUGGCGCACGGGUGCGUAACGCGUGGGAACCUGCCCUUAGGUUCGGAAUAACUCCCCUUAAGGGGUGCUAAUACCGGAUAAUGUCUUCGGACCAAAGAUUUAUCGCGUUUGGGUGGGCCCGCGUUGGUUUAGCUAGUUGGUAGGGUAAAAGCCUACCAAGGCGUCGAUCCAUAGCUGGUCUGAGAGGAUGAUCAGCCACACUGGGACUAAGACACGGCCCAGACUCCUACGGGAGGGAGCAGUGGGGAAUAUUGGACAAUGGGCGAAGGCCUGAUCCAGCAAUGCCGGGUGAGUGAUGAAGGCCUUAGGGUUGUAAAGCUCUUUUACACGGGAUGAUAAUGACGGUACCGGGAGAAUAAGCACCGGCUAACUCCGUG
RNAcentral lists this ribosomal RNA (433 nucleotides) under uncultured bacterium. Its description in RNAcentral is "partial 16S ribosomal RNA". It matches the Rfam family "Bacterial small subunit ribosomal RNA", at positions 29 to 507 of the family's 1533-position model. The record is from RNAcentral.